UACAGGGGGGGCAAGCGUUGUUCGGAAUUACUGGGCGUAAAGGGCUCGUAGGCGGCCAACUAAGUCGGAUGUGAAAUCCCCAGGCUCAACCUGGGAACUGCAUCCGAUACUGGAUGGCUUGAAUUCGGGAGAGGGAUGCAGAAUUCCAGGUGUAGCGGUGAAAUGCGUAGAUAUCAGGAGGAACACCGGUGGCGAAGGCGGGUCUCUGGGCCGAUACUGACGCUGAGGAGCGAAAGCGUGGGGAGCGAACAGG
RNAcentral lists this ribosomal RNA (253 nucleotides) under uncultured bacterium. RNAcentral describes it as "partial 16S ribosomal RNA". It matches the Rfam family "Bacterial small subunit ribosomal RNA", at positions 524 to 776 of the family's 1533-position model. The record is from RNAcentral.